Molecule: ribosomal RNA, 237 nt
Filed under: uncultured bacterium
Lineage: Bacteria
Description: partial 16S ribosomal RNA
Rfam family: Bacterial small subunit ribosomal RNA
Source: RNAcentral
CGGGACGGGGUGGAGUAAUGUCUGGGAAACGUGCCUGAUGGAGGGGGGUAACUACUGGAAACGGUAGCUAAUACCGCAUAACGUCGCAAGACCAAAGAGGGGGACCGUUCGGGCCUCUUGCCAUCGGAUGUGCCCAGAUGGGAUUAGCUAGUAGGUGGGGUAACGGCUCACCUAGGCGACGAUCCCUAGCUGGUCUGAGAGGAUGGCCAGCCACACUGGAACUGAGACACGGUCCAG